Apis dorsata (giant honeybee) is the source of this 557-nucleotide long non-coding RNA. RefSeq lists it as uncharacterized. The record is from RefSeq and is a predicted model, not a curated record. The transcript has 2 exons. Lineage: Eukaryota; Metazoa; Arthropoda; Insecta; Hymenoptera; Apidae.
AACGCUUUCACGUAUUCGCAUUCUUUCCCACGCGUAAUCGCGUGCAAAUAAAAUAAGAGAGGGGGGAGGGAGAAGGAGAAAGGAAUUAUACGGUGUAAUUAGAAAUAAUAGCUGUACGGAACGAUUAAAACACGCUCGAGGCGGCGCUCAAAGUCCCAGUUAGGAAACAAGGCGGAAAGCCAAGAGGCGAGACAAUUUAGAAUGGAAGGUGGAAACAAUCGCUGAAACGGGCGCCAACUCGAAUCGACGACGAAUCCUCCCAUCUGUGCUGCGGUAAGGAGGCUGGGCUGAUCCCCGAACAAGGGGGGACAUACCGACGUGCUCUCCUCCUCGCCGCUCUCCCUGCGACCGCCCAGGAGCGGGAAAAGAAGAGGGGAAGAGGGAAAGAUGACGCUCGACGCGGGAAGAGGAACCACGGCGCUCGGUGAAACGAACGACGGGACCACCCUCGGGGGAAACGAGUUGGCUCACACCGUCAGAUAACUUUCGAUCUUCCCCUUCUCGCUCCCUCUCUCCCCUUCCCCUACCCUUUCUCCAAAAAAAGAAAGAAAGAAAGA